AUGUGCUAGAGAGGUCUCCUGAAGGCAGCAGAUGGUUGUGGGAAGAUCCGGAGUCAGGUGUCACUACUCAGUACACUUGGACCCAGCUUACCCAAGGGUUUGAGAACUCCCCUACUAUCUUUGGGGAGGCCCUGGCUCGAGACCUGCAAAAGUUUCCUGCUAAAGACCUAGGCUGCAUCUUGCUCCUGUACAUGGAUGACCUUCUGCUGGGACACUCCACGGCAGUCAGGUGCGCAAAAGGGAUGGAUGCCCUGCUUCAGCACCUGGAGGACUGUGGGUAUAAGGUGUCCAAGAAGAAAGCUCAGAUCUGCAGACAGCAGGUACGCUACCUGGGAUUCACUAUUCAGAAAGGGGAGUGCAGCCUGGGGUCAUAAAGAAAGCAGGUCACCUGCAGCCUACCAGAACCUAAAACCAGGAGGCAAGUAAGGGAAUUCCUAGGAGCUGUAGGGUUUUGCAGAUUAGGGAUUUCAAACUUUGCAAUGCUAGCAAAACCUUUGUACAGGGUUACAAAGUGGGGCGAUUGGGAGCGCUUUGAAUGGGAACCUCUACAACAGCAAGCCUUUUGUAAGUUAAAGGAAAAAUUUAUGUCGGCCCCAGCCCUAGGACUACCAGAUUUGACAAAGCCCUUUACACUCUAUGUGUCAGAAAGAGAAAAAACGGCAGUUGGAGUUUUAAUCCAGACUGUGGGGCCCUGGCCUACACCAGUGGCCUAUCUCUCAAAACAACUAGAUGGGGUUUCCAAAGGCUGGCCACCAUGUCUAAGGGCCCUGGCAGCAACAGCCCUGUUAGCACAAGAAGCAGAUAAACUAACCCUUGUGCAAAACCUGAAUAUAAAGGCCCCCCAUGCUGUGGUAACUUUGAUGAAUACCAAAGGACAUCAUUGGCUACCAAAUGCUAGUUUAAUCAAGUACCAAAGCUUGCUAUGUGAAAAUCCCCGCAUAACCACUGAAGUCUGUAACACCCUAAAUCCCGCCACCUGCUCCCAGUAUCAGAGAGCCUGGUCAAGCGUAACUGUGUAGAGGUGUUGGACUCAGUUUAUUCUAGCAGACCUGACUUUUGGGACCAGCCAUGGGCAUCAGUAGACUGGGAGUUAUACGUGGAUGGGAGUAGCUUCAUCAACCCAUAAGGAGAAAGAUGUGCAGGAUAUGCAGUGGUAACUUUGGAUGCUGCCAUUGAAGCCAAACUGUUGCCACAGGGCACUUCAGCCCAGAAGCCUGAGCUCAUUGCUUUAACUCGGGCUCUAGAACUCAGUGAAGGUAAGACUAAACAUCUACACUGACUCUCGAUAUGCUUUUCUAACCCUCCAAGUGCAUGGAGCAUUAUAUAAGGAAAAGGUCCUGUUAAACUCUGGGGGAAAGGACAUAAAAUAUCAACAAGUAAUUCUACAAUUACUAGAGGCAGUGUGGAAACCUCAGAAGGCAGCAGUCAUGCACUGCAGGGGACACCAGCAAGCCUCCACCUCAGUGGCCUUAGGAAACUCUUGAGCUGAUUCAGAAGCUCAAAAUGCAGCAUCUACCCCUUACUGGGCAUCAGUAGCAGCCCCCUUACUCCCUCAAACACCUGACCUGGUACCUACCUAUUCUAAGGAAGAAAAAGACUUCUUCCAUGCAGAAGGGGGGCAAGUAAUAAAAGGAGGAUGGAUCAGACUGCCAGAUGGGAGAGUAGCUAUGGCACAAUUGCUGGGAGCCACAAUCAUAUUGGCCAUGCAUGAAACCACUCAUCUAGGUCAAGAGUCACAUGAAAAAUUGUUAAGCUGCUACUUCUACAUCUCAUACUUGCCAGCCCUUGCCAAAGCUGUAGCACAGCAGUGCAUUAUUUGCCAACAGCACAAUGCGAGGUAAGGCCCCACUGUUCCACCCGGCAUACAAGCUUAUGGAGCGGCUCCUUUUGAGGAUUUUGAGGUGGAUUUCACAGAAAUGCCGAAAUGUGGAGGUAACAAGUAUUUGCUGGUUCUUGUGUGUACUUACUCUGAGUGGGUGGAGGCGUAUCCAACACAAACUGAAAAGGCCUAUGAGGUAACCCAUGUGUUUCUCUGAGAUUUUAUUCCUAGGUUUGGACUGCCUUUAUGAAUUGGCUCAGAUAAUGGGCGGGCAUUUGUGGCUGACUUGGUACAGAAGACAGCAAAGGCAUUAGGAAUCACUUGGAAGCUAUGUGCCACCUACUGACCUCAGAGUUCUGGAAAAGAUGGAGUGAAUGAAUCGGACUAUCAAAAAUAGUUUAGGGAAAGUAUGUCAGGAAAUAGGAUUAAAGCAGAUACAGUCUCUUCCUAUGAUAUUGUUUAAAAUUAGAUGCACUCCUUCUAAGAAAACAGGACACUCCCCUUAGGAAAUACCGUAUCAUAGGCCUCCUCCCAUACUACUGGGGCUUUCAGGCACUCCCCAAGUGUCAGGUGAAAUUGAAUUACAGCGACAGCUACAGGCUUUAGGAAAAAUUACACAAACAAUCUCAACUUGGGUAAAUGAGAGGUAUCCCAUCAGCUUACUCUCCCCAGUUCACCCGUUCUCUCCAGGUGAUCGCAUGUGGAUCAAGGACUGGAACAUAGCCCCUUUGUGGCCAUGGUGGAAAGGACCUCAGACCAUCAUCCUGACCACCCCCAAGGCUGUAAAGGUAGAAGGAAUCCCAUCCUGGGUCCACCACAGCCAUGUGAAUCCUGCAGCCGCUGAAACCUGGGAGGCAAAACAGAGCCUGGACAACCCCUGCAAAGUGACUCUGAGGAGGAUGACAAGCCCUGCUCCAGUCACACCUGGAAGCUGACUGGUCUACGCACAGCCAAAACAUGAGGAGGAUCAUUGUGGGACUCACUUUCCUUAUAAUUUGGACUUGUAUAGUAAAAACUUCCACUGAUUUUCCUCACAUGUAGGACUGCUCUCAGUGUAUACAUCAGGUUACCGAGGUAGCACAACAAGUUACAACAAUCUUUCUGUUCUAUAGUUACUAUGAAUGCCCAGGAAAUUUAAAAGGAAUAUGUUUAUAUAACGACACUCAGUAUAAGGUAUGUAGCCCAGGAAAUGACUGGCCAGAUGUGUGUUAUGACCCCUUUGAGCCUCCCAUGUCCACAGUUUUUGAAAUAAAAUUAAGGACUGAA
This is a long non-coding RNA of Homo sapiens (human), 3085 nucleotides long. RefSeq lists it as uncharacterized. The record is from RefSeq and is a predicted model, not a curated record. Lineage: Eukaryota; Metazoa; Chordata; Mammalia; Primates; Hominidae. The transcript is spliced from 2 exons.